GUGUCAGCCGCCGCGGUAACACGUAGGGGACGAGCGUUGUCCGGAAUUAUUGGGCGUAAAGCGCGCGUAGGCGGCCCGGAAAGUCGGUUGUGAAAUUCCAGGGCUCAACCCUGGGACUGCGUCCGAUACUUCCGGGCUGGAGGCAGGUAGGGGAGAUCGGAAUUCCUGGUGUAGCGGUGAAAUGCGCAGAUAUCAGGAGGAACACCGGUGGCGAAGGCGGAUCUCUGGGCCUUGCCUGACGCUGAGGCGCGAAAGCUAGGGGAGCGAACAGGAUUAGAAACCCUCGUAGUCC
This 292-nucleotide ribosomal RNA is filed under the name uncultured bacterium. RNAcentral describes it as "partial 16S ribosomal RNA". It matches the Rfam family "Bacterial small subunit ribosomal RNA", at positions 505 to 796 of the family's 1533-position model. The record is from RNAcentral.